Long non-coding RNA from Oryzias melastigma (Indian medaka), 3735 nucleotides. RefSeq lists it as uncharacterized. The transcript is spliced from 2 exons. The record is from RefSeq and is a predicted model, not a curated record. NCBI's taxonomy places the organism in Eukaryota, Metazoa, Chordata, Actinopteri, Beloniformes, Adrianichthyidae.
GGAAGGAGUUCUGGAUAACCAGCAGGAGGCCGGCCCUGGAGGGCUCUGCUCUAGAUGAAGAAUUGAAUUUUCCCAAAUCUCUUUGUAUUCACUGGAAAUAUGGACGGAAGGGAAACACAAAGCCGAUGGUGAAGUUGGACAGCCAGUUGAGACAUCCGGCGACGGUGUAGGCAGACGGCCGGUGAGACUGCUUGAAGAGCUCUGCAGUGAUCAGGAAAGGCACGCCGGCUGCAGAAAGGAAACCACUGUUAGCUUGUUUUAUAUUAUCGCUCCUAUUCUCAACUAAUCCACAUUAAGAUAAUUAAAGUUAUGGGUUUGAUGCAGCUCGCCAUCUGGCCAGAGUGUAAAUCACAUUUAAUUACCUGCUGCUGUGGUGAGAUAAACAGCAGCAGCUUCAUUCAUCAGUUAGCUUAGCCACGCUGCUGCUCACCGGCCCUCAUUCACAAUGAAUGGAGGAGGAAACAAGCAGAGGAGCUAUAAAGCUGCUCCUCCGUUUUCAAGUAUUUCAUUACGACUUUGGUAUUAAUCACAAACUGAUGAGAGGAGGAGGAGUUUUGUCUGAGGGGGGGGGGCGGACCUGCAGACACCCCCCACCCCCCCCACAGCGCUUUGACCGUCAGGUUCUGCUCUCAUUCCUCAUUGUUAGAAGUGAAUGAUGUGAAGGAGAAAUAUGCAUUAGCAAAAGCUGCAAUGAUCCGCUCUCAGAAUGAUGUGCUCAUUAUCUGUGCUCGCUAACUGCAGACAGGAAGGCUAAUAUUGUCAGACCAAUAAGUGGGCCAUAAUUUGUCAACAUGGGCGUCAGCGUGAAAGCAAGUUUCAUCUGAAGGAAACCGUAUUCAUCACGGCAGACUAAUGAACAAUGAGCCAUUACCAGGGGAGCAGAAAUCCUCGUCCACGCGCUCCGGUAAAGAUUUUAUAGCUGCCAUAUUGACAAAAAAACACAUGCAAGUGAAUUUAUCAUCCUUGCAGGCUUGUGUCAUAAAGCAUCACAUCCUAAUUCUCCUCUCCUGCUAUGGGCAUGGGUGCAGAUUUCUGAAUAAAGAUCAAGAUGAGGGCUCUGCAGUUGGAGGAGCGUCCAGCAGGGAGCAGUGUGAUCUCAAAUACUAGACUGUUCAGAGGUGGAACAAGCCUUACCUGGACCUAUGCAGAAGCCAGCAAUGAUCCCGAUGACGCAGCCCACACUGAUGUAGCUCAUGAAGGGAAGCUGCGCCUGCCAACAAGUUUUAAAGUUAUUCACUGAGACAAGACCACACUGGGAGAAUCAAACACUUCUCCAACUGCUACAGAAAAGUUAAAGCCUGGUCUUUGAGGAGAGGGCGUAUACCUGGUGGAGGACGGACACAGUGAUCCCUGCACAACAGACGCCCAUGAAGAGGAAGCCGCCGAUGAUCAGAGGUCUCCGGCCCACGCGCUCAAUGGUGAAGCACUGAAGGAUGGGAGCUGUGUGAGCGCAAUGACAGGGAUGGGUGGGGUGUGUCUGGUGUUCACUCACCCCCAGCAUCCCUGCGAUGACCUCAAUGGCGCCGGUCCCCACUGUUGUGUACUGAAUGUGAGGCUCUGGGAUCCCAGCGUUCCUGAAAAUGUCAUUUGUGUAGAACCAGAUCUGGAAUCACAGAGACGUAGACCAUGAAGGAAGGAGGUGUCUUGGUGUGUUUCAUGUUCUUCAUCAAGUAAAGUCCCAGGUGUGUCUUUAAUGCAAACUUUCACCAUGAAGCUGCAGACACACCAGGCAUGUGACGCACAUUUAAAAACGCACUUUUAGUCCAAAGUAUUCACACUGGACAAGCUGGGAGGGGCUACUUGUUUUUUUCUACAUUUUACCAGCGUAUAUCCACCAACUACAGUUAGUAUUAUGAAAUAUUAUAUGAAAUACAUCAUUCCGGCUGAGCAUGAACUGCAAUUAUGUAUUUCUCCUUCAUGCUUCCAUGCACUUCCAUGCAUUAAAAGGGAUUCCAUUCAUACGUCACGACCAAAUCCAAGUCAAGAUUAACUUUUAACACAUGUUCAAUGGGCACGUGUUUUGAAGCACUUACAUAGACUUUACAUUAGCAGUACUUGCUGCAACAUGUGUUACUAGGGCCGGUCCUGGGCAUAGGUUACUUAGGGCGCCAUCUGCUGGAGGGGGUGCCAAAUCCCAAUGAUUAUGAAUUAAUGUUUUUUUUAUUAUUAUUACACACAACUUAUUUAAUAUAUAAAUGAAAAAGUAAUUAAAAAAUGUAAAUGAAAUAACAUGGUGUGGCUCCAUACUGUGCUUUGAAAUCUGUUUGACAUGGUGGUGCGGUGAUUAAGGCUCUUGCCAACAAGUGCAAAGUUCAGUGGUUUAACUCCCCUUUCACCCAGGGCCGAGCCUGAGUCUUACGAAGGGUGAACGUAGCCUGAUUCUCUCAUGUAUCAUCUGAAGUUCGGGCUACUCCGCUAACCGAAUACUUCAUCACCACAGCAGAGACGACCUCGUGCAUCACAGCAGAGGAUGAGCUCCUCCCUGCAUACUGUUUCAGAUGCAUUUCACCGGUUUCCUUUGCUAUUUUAGAAGAAGUCUUUUGUUAGAACAUCAGACAGUGAACCUGAAGAGCAUUUCUAAAACUUUCUGGAGCUGGACUCUGAAACAUGUGCAGGAUUUAUCAGGCUUGUGCGCACACGAGCAGCUUGGAAACCACAGGGGCGUGCUUCAGAGGAAGAUAAACGAGUCAGCCGAGCAUGUGGAGCCUAAAGCCACAGACUCCAGAGCCAUGAAGGUCGCUCUCUUUUAACCUGUCGGGAUCAUCAAGGUAAUUUAUGUUAAGUUUAGAGCUUCAGAGUAAAGUGGAUACACAAAAAUGCCUGCAUUGCUUUUCCAGAUUAUGUUCUUUCAGGGAAAUGCAGCCGAGAGAACCUCACAAACCUGUUGAGCUGCUCUGAAUGUUAGAAACAACAGUGUUUACUCUGGUCACACUGCAGCUUACAAGAACUUAAAUAACAGAAGUUUGUUUAUUUAAAUGUAUUUAAAAAGCCAAAUCACUUUUUUACUUUUAUGACAUAUUUAAGAAAGUUUGAAAAUAAUGUUUGCCAGGAUGAUGUGUUUUUAUCAAUGAAGUCAAAGUGAUCGCUCCAGCAUCUUGUUUUGUUUUUGAUGUGAAACAGUCAGAAACAUCAGUUUGUUGUGAUCUGUCAUUUCUGCCACUAGAUGUCGCUAAACCUCAAACGUCUCAAUUAAACUGUUUUUCUAAUCAGCUCACCAGAUUAUGAGGAUUGCAGCUGCUCAUGAGCCAGCAGUCAUUGAUGUCAAAAUAUUUUUAGGAUUUAGAAAAAAAUCCUAGAAAUGUCAAGUUGUUGACCUGAAAGUACUUAUAAUUUCAUAAAAAAAACUAUCCAAUCUGCCUAUCAAUCUGAUUGUUUUAUCCAUUAAUUUGUGCCCCUUUGCAUUUUCAAUAAAACUAAAGCAGCUUUUCCAAAAUAUCUGACAUCAAACAUGGAUGUGGUGGUAGGUUAGUGGUUUGGACCUGUUUGUGAGAGUCAGAACAUGUAAUGGAAUCAGGAAGUAACCCUAAAGGAGAAUGUCUUCCAUCAAUUCAUGAGCUCAACUUCAAUGCAACAUGUCAAGAGAGGACCAGAGAACCAUCUGGGAUGACACCCACCAAACAGAGCAACAGGUCCAUCUAGAGCAAGUCCAGCUAACAGACUACUUCCAAACCAGGCAAACGAUCACCAAAGCAAGCGGCAGGUCCAGCAAUCAGAGCACCAAAAAAGAAAAAAAAA